GAUGAAGAACGCAGCGAAAUGCGAUCAGUAAUGUGAAUUGCAGAAUUCAGUGAAUCAUCGAAUCUUUGAACGCACAUUGCGCCCGCCAGUAUUCUGGCGGGCAUGCCUGUUCGAGCGUCAUUUCAACCCUCAGGCCCCGCCUGGCGUUGGGGAUCGGCGCGGCCCUCUCCGGGCUGCCGGCCCCGAAAACUAGUGGCGGUCUCGCUGUAGUCCUCCUCUGCGCAGUAGCAACGCUCGCACUGGAACUCGGCGCGGCCACGCCGUAAAACACCCCACUUCUGAAAGUUGACCUCGGAUCAGGUAGGAAUACCCGCUGAACUUAAGCAUAUCAAUAGCGGAGGA
RNAcentral lists this unclassified non-coding RNA (342 nucleotides) under soil metagenome. RNAcentral describes it as "partial contains 5.8S ribosomal RNA, internal transcribed spacer 2, and large subunit ribosomal RNA". The stretch from base 1 to 120 matches the Rfam family "5.8S ribosomal RNA", at positions 35 to 154 of the family's 154-position model. The record is from RNAcentral.